This 834-nucleotide long non-coding RNA is filed under the name Salmo salar (Atlantic salmon). RNAcentral describes it as "lncRNA (ENSSSAG00000118515.1)". Lineage: Eukaryota; Metazoa; Chordata; Actinopteri; Salmoniformes; Salmonidae. The record is from RNAcentral.
GAAAGAUCCAUUCUACCCAAGAGAGAGUGAGAGAGGGAACUCUCCAACAGGACGAACCUUUCCAACAAAGAUCACGACGACACACUGAGCAGGUGAGUCUUCAGUUAAUUACUCACCAACUGAAUCGAGAUCUGCUCAGCCAAGAUACACACACAGAAGCCAGGUGGUGACACGCAUCUCUGCGUGCCUGGCAGAUAUCUCAGCUUGGAUGUCGGCCCACCACCUCAACCCCGACAAUACGGAGCUGCUCUUCCUCCCGGGAAAGGCAUGCCUGCUCCAAGACCUCUCCGUCAUGGUUGACAACUCCACUGUGUACCCCUCCCAGAGUGCAAAGAACCUUGGUGUACGCUGGACAAAACCAUGUCAUUCUCUGACUAGGGACCACGAGCUGCAGCCGAGGUCUGAUGAGUUGUAACCCCAAAACGCAACACGAUGUUGACGAAGACAAAGGAACCUUUUAACAAUCUAUGCUACGGAUGAGUAGCUGUGUCUAAGAGGGGGAAUUCUAGCAGGACGACCCGGUUAUUCUCUCCAAGGAAUCGUGUGUCUUCACUGCUUUCAUUCACACACUGGAACCACCUACAUGGCUGAUUAGCCGUCCUCAAAAGACCCCUCUUUCAGAACAAGUGCGAGGAACCAGACCACUAAGAGAAAGGACACUGACAUCUUGGUGGACAAUCAGAGAGUUACACCUGGUAACAACAGAAGUGUCGCCAUCAGAGAAGUCGGAACCGGUCCACUAAGAGACACCCCAUCGGAGACCUUCGACACAUAAUUACAUCAUUAUAUUCUGACCCAUAAGAGCGGCAGUUCGGGCAAGGUUAGGGUUAAAAU